RNAcentral lists this ribosomal RNA (581 nucleotides) under Escherichia coli. RNAcentral describes it as "partial 23S ribosomal RNA". It matches the Rfam family "Bacterial large subunit ribosomal RNA", at positions 649 to 1230 of the family's 2925-position model. Lineage: Bacteria; Pseudomonadati; Pseudomonadota; Gammaproteobacteria; Enterobacterales; Enterobacteriaceae. The record is from RNAcentral.
ACCGAAUAGGGGAGCCGAAGGGAAACCGAGUCUUAACUGGGCGUUAAGUUGCAGGGUAUAGACCCGAAACCCGGUGAUCUAGCCAUGGGCAGGUUGAAGGUUGGGUAACACUAACUGGAGGACCGAACCGACUAAUGUUGAAAAAUUAGCGGAUGACUUGUGGCUGGGGGUGAAAGGCCAAUCAAACCGGGAGAUAGCUGGUUCUCCCCGAAAGCUAUUUAGGUAGCGCCUUGUGAAUUCAUCUCCGGGGGUAGAGCACUGUUUCGGCAAGGGGGUCAUCCCGACUUACCAACCCGAUGCAAACUGCGAAUACCGGAGAAUGUUAUCACGGGAGACACACGGCGGGUGCUAACGUCCGUCGUGAAGAGGGAAACAACCCAGACCGCCAGCUAAGGUCCCAAAGUCAUGGUUAAGUGGGAAACGAUGUGGGAAGGCCCAGACAGCCAGGAUGUUGGCUUAGAAGCAGCCAUCAUUUAAAGAAAGCGUAAUAGCUCACUGGUCGAGUCGGCCUGCGCGGAAGAUGUAACGGGGCUAAACCAUGCACCGAAGCUGCGGCAGCGACGCUGAUGCGUUGUUGGGUA